This 1063-nucleotide ribosomal RNA is filed under the name Prevotella sp. S7-23-39. RNAcentral's name for it is "bacterial SSU rRNA". It matches the Rfam family "Bacterial small subunit ribosomal RNA", at positions 67 to 1123 of the family's 1533-position model. Lineage: Bacteria; Pseudomonadati; Bacteroidota; Bacteroidia; Bacteroidales; Prevotellaceae. The record is from RNAcentral.
GGGUAACGUGAGGGAAGCUUGCUUCCCUUGACGACGACUGGCGCACGGGUGAGUAACGCGUAUCCAACCUUCCCAUGACCACGGGAUAACCCGUUGAAAGACGGACUAAUACCGUAUGACGUCGUUUGCUGACAUCAAAUAACGAUUAAAGGUUUAGCGGUGAUGGAUGGGGAUGCGUCUGAUUAGCUUGUUGGCGGGGUAACGGCCCACCAAGGCUACGAUCAGUAGGGGUUCUGAGAGGAAGGUCCCCCACAUUGGAACUGAGACACGGUCCAAACUCCUACGGGAGGCAGCAGUGAGGAAUAUUGGUCAAUGGGCGAGAGCCUGAACCAGCCAAGUAGCGUGCAGGAUGACGGCCCUAUGGGUUGUAAACUGCUUUUAUGCGGGGAUAAAGUGCGUGACGUGUCAUGCAUUGCAGGUACCGCAUGAAUAAGGACCGGCUAAUUCCGUGCCAGCAGCCGCGGUAAUACGGAAGGUCCGGGCGUUAUCCGGAUUUAUUGGGUUUAAAGGGAGCGUAGGCCGCCAGAUAAGCGUGUUGUGAAAUGUACCGGCUCAACCGGUGAAUUGCAGCGCGAACUGUUUGGCUUGAGUGCACGGUAAGCAGGCGGAAUUCAUGGUGUAGCGGUGAAAUGCUUAGAUAUCAUGAAGAACUCCGAUUGCGAAGGCAGCUUGCUGCAGUGCGACUGACGCUGAUGCUCGAAGGUGCGGGUAUCAAACAGGAUUAGAUACCCUGGUAGUCCGCACGGUAAACGAUGGAUGCCCGCUGUCCGCCUAUUGUGGCGGGUGGCCAAGCGAAAGCGUUAAGCAUCCCACCUGGGGAGUACGCCGGCAACGGUGAAACUCAAAGGAAUUGACGGGGGCCCGCACAAGCGGAGGAACAUGUGGUUUAAUUCGAUGAUACGCGAGGAACCUUACCCGGGCUUGAACUGCCAGUGAACGAUACAGAGAUGUUGAGGCCCUUCGGGGCGCUGGUGGAGGUGCUGCAUGGUUGUCGUCAGCUCGUGCCGUGAGGUGUCGGCUUAAGUGCCAUAACGAGCGCAACCCCUUUUUUCAGUUGCCAUCA